This 897-nucleotide ribosomal RNA is filed under the name uncultured Micrococcus sp. RNAcentral's name for it is "bacterial SSU rRNA". It matches the Rfam family "Bacterial small subunit ribosomal RNA", at positions 505 to 1398 of the family's 1533-position model. Lineage: Bacteria; Bacillati; Actinomycetota; Actinomycetes; Micrococcales; Micrococcaceae. The record is from RNAcentral.
GUGCCAGCAGCCGCGGUAAUACGUAGGGUGCGAGCGUUAUCCGGAAUUAUUGGGCGUAAAGAGCUCGUAGGCGGUUUGUCGCGUCUGUCGUGAAAGUCCGGGGCUUAACCCCGGAUCUGCGGUGGGUACGGGCAGACUAGAGUGCAGUAGGGGAGACUGGAAUUCCUGGUGUAGCGGUGGAAUGCGCAGAUAUCAGGAGGAACACCGGUGGCGAAGGCAGGUCUCUGGGCUGUAACUGACGCUGAGGAGCGAAAGCAUGGGGAGCGAACAGGAUUAGAUACCCUGGUAGUCCAUGCCGUAAACGUUGGGCACUAGGUGUGGGGACCACUCCACGGUUUCCGCGCCGCAGCUAACGCAUUAAGUGCCCCGCCUGGGGAGUACGGCCGCAAGGCUAAAACUCAAAGGAAUUGACGGGGGCCCGCACAAGCGGCGGAGCAUGCGGAUUAAUUCGAUGCAACGCGAAGAACCUUACCAAGGCUUGACAUGUUCUCGAUCGCCGUAGAGAUACGGUUUCCCCUUUGGGGCGGGUUCACAGGCGGUGCAUGGUUGUCGUCAGCUCGUGUCGUGAGAUGUUGGGUUAAGUCCCGCAACGAGCGCAACCCUCGUUCCAUGUUGCCAGCACGUAAUGGUGGGGACUCAUGGGAGACUGCCGGGGUCAACUCGGAGGAAGGUGAGGACGACGUCAAAUCAUCAUGCCCCUUAUGUCUUGGGCUUCACGCAUGCUACAAUGGCCGGUACAAUGGGUUGCGAUACUGUGAGGUGGAGCUAAUCCCAAAAAGCCGGUCUCAGUUCGGAUUGGGGUCUGCAACUCGACCCCAUGAAGUCGGAGUCGCUAGUAAUCGCAGAUCAGCAACGCUGCGGUGAAUACGUUCCCGGGCCUUGUACACACCGCCCGUG